RNAcentral lists this ribosomal RNA (460 nucleotides) under uncultured bacterium. Its description in RNAcentral is "partial 16S ribosomal RNA". It matches the Rfam family "Bacterial small subunit ribosomal RNA", at positions 338 to 795 of the family's 1533-position model. The record is from RNAcentral.
GCUACGGGCGGCUGCAGUGAGGAAUAUUGGUCAAUGGACGCAAGUCUGAACCAGCCAUGCCGCGUGCAGGAAGACGGCUCUAUGAGUUGUAAACUGCUUUUGUACGAGGGUAAACGCAGAUACGCGUAUCUGUCUGAAAGUAUCGUACGAAUAAGGAUCGGCUAACUCCUUGCCAGAAGCCGCGGUAAUACGGAGGAUUCAAGCGUUAUCCGGAUUUAUUGGGUUUAAAGGGGGCGUAGGCGGUCGGAUAAGGUAGAGGUGAAAUCCCGGGGCUCAACUUCGGAAUUGCCUUUGAUACUGUUCGGCUAGAGCGUAGUUGCGGUAGACGGAAUGUAUGGUGUAGCGGUGAAAUGCUUAGAGAUCAUACAGAACACCGAUUGCGAAGGCAGCUUACCGAGCUACUUCUGACGUUGAGGCACGAAAGCGUGGGGAGCAAACAGGAUUAGAUACCCCAGUAGUC